Molecule: ribosomal RNA, 301 nt
Filed under: uncultured bacterium
Lineage: Bacteria
Description: partial 16S ribosomal RNA
Rfam family: Bacterial small subunit ribosomal RNA
Source: RNAcentral
CAGCAGCCACGGUAAUACGUAGGUGGCAAGCGUUGUCCGGAAUUAUUGGGCGUAAAGCGCGCGCAGGCGGCCUAUCCAGUCUGUCUUAAAAGUUCGGGGCUCAACCCCGUGAUGGGAUGGAAACUGCUGAUCUAGAGUAUCGGAGAGGAAAGUGGAAUUCCUAGUGUAGCGGUGAAAUGCGUAGAUAUUAGGAAGAACACCAGUGGCGAAGGCGACUUUCUGGACGAAAACUGACGCUGAGGCGCGAAAGCCAGGGGAGCGAACGGGAUUAGAUACCCGUGUAGUCCCUGUCUCUUAUACC